CGUUGUGUUUUUAGGGCAAGCCGCUAUCACUGCAGUGGUUUGUUCUGUUCAUGCGAUGGUUUUCGCAUGAACUUUUUGGAAGCUUGUAUCGACUUCUAAAUGCGGUUAGUUGACCGAUUUUUGCGACGCCGGUUUCGGGAUAUCUACGAUUUAUAUCUACGCCAGACACAGCUAGGCUACCCUUGUCCCUGAUGGAGAAAGUAGAAGAAACGACAAACGAUAGGUUACCUCCCUUCAACCUUAGGAUAAUUCAUUUCUCUAGAUUUGUUCUCACCUUGAGUAAAUACUAGCACUCAGGGUAAACACGUGGUAUUAGCGGCCAUCAGGACUGCGAAGAAGAAGAAGAAGAAGAAGAAGAAGAAGAAGAAGAAGAAGAAAAGAGAGGUGGAUAAAAGAGCA
This 399-nucleotide small RNA is filed under the name Histoplasma ohiense. RNAcentral's name for it is "hypothetical lncRNA". Lineage: Eukaryota; Fungi; Ascomycota; Eurotiomycetes; Onygenales; Ajellomycetaceae. The record is from RNAcentral.